AAGAAUUUUAGAAGAGAAUUGGAUUUAGAUUUUUGGAGAAAUGAUAGGCUAUAUAUAAGGGUAUGGCCGACCCUAUUAGGAGGGACCGGCCACAUAUGUUUGAUUUGUGGGAUUGAUUGCAAGAUAUUAUGUGAAAUAAUAUCUUGCAAUUAAUUUGGUAAUUAAUCCCAAUUUGAAAAGAAUAAUUGGGAGUUACCUUGUGGGUGAGGAUUUGAUGAGGAGUGAUGAGAGAGUUUUAAAAGAAUACCAUUUUGAUCACCUUUGACCUCGAUUGAGCUGUUAUAAUCUGUUGCAUGCGUGUGGGAAUCUCGGUGUGCCUUAAGGGUAAUUUUGUCUUUUUCACCCCAAAAGUCCACGUGUCGCCUCUAUAUUUUUCUUGAUUAUUUUUGGCUUUAUAAAUGCCCUUACAUCUGUUGGGUUGCUCACAGGAAAAGGCAUCAGGUGUUGAGAUCUUCUCUUGCUUUAGAAAACAUAGGAUUGUUUCUUAUUUUGAUGUAGAUUCCUUCUUUAAUUAGAAAUUAUAUCCUUCUAGGAAAGGGAAAUAAAUCACUUCUAAGGUUUAUUUAAGUCUACCUUAAGUAGAUGAUUUAAUCAACUUUAGAGAGCAAUUUAUU
Molecule: long non-coding RNA, 614 nt
Filed under: Malus domestica (apple)
Lineage: Eukaryota; Viridiplantae; Streptophyta; Magnoliopsida; Rosales; Rosaceae
Description: long non-coding RNA (MDOM_LNC012098)
Source: RNAcentral